UGUCUGGCUCACAGCUGNCNCGCUCGUUUACAGCCUAAUACAUGCAAGUCGAGCGAAUGAUUGAGAGCUUGCUCUCAAGAAGUUAGCGGCGGACGGGUGAGUAACACGUGGGUAACCUGCCCAUAAGACUGGGAUAACUCCGGGAAACCGGGGCUAAUACCGGAUAAUAUUUUGAACUGCAUGGUUCGAAAUUGAAAGGCGGCUUCGGCUGUCACUUAUGGAUGGACCCGCGUCGCAUUAGCUAGUUGGUGAGGUAACGGCUCACCAAGGCAACGAUGCGUAGCCGACCUGAGAGGGUGAUCGUGCCACACUGGGACUGAGACACGGCCAGACUCCUACGGGAGGCAGCAGUAGGGAAUCUUUCCGCAAAUGGACGAAAGUCUGACGGAGCAAACGCCGCGUUGAGUGAUGAAAGGCUUUCGGGUCGUAAAAACUCUGUUGGUUAGGAGGAACAGAACAAGGUGCUAAGUUUUGGAAUUAAGCUGGGCACCUUGGACNGGUACCCUAAACCCAGAAAGGCCCCACGGGCUUACUAACGGUGCCCA
Molecule: ribosomal RNA, 545 nt
Filed under: uncultured bacterium
Lineage: Bacteria
Description: bacterial SSU rRNA
Rfam family: Bacterial small subunit ribosomal RNA
Source: RNAcentral